This 446-nucleotide ribosomal RNA is filed under the name uncultured soil bacterium. RNAcentral describes it as "bacterial SSU rRNA". It matches the Rfam family "Bacterial small subunit ribosomal RNA", at positions 26 to 518 of the family's 1533-position model. The record is from RNAcentral.
AGAGCGAACGCUGGCGGCAGGCCUAACCCAUGCAAGUCGAACGAACUCUUCGGAGUUAGUGGCGGACGGGUGAGUAACACGUGGGAACGUGCCUUUUGGUUCGGAAUAGCUCCUGGAAACGGGUGGUAAUGCCGAAUGUGCCCUUCGGGGGAAAGAUUUAUCGCCAUUAGAGCGGCCCGCGUCUGAUUAGCUAGUUGGUGAGGUAAAGGCUCACCAAGGCUACGAUCAGUAGCUGGUCUGAGAGGAUGACCAGCCACAUUGGGACUGAGACACGGCCCAAACUCCUACGGGAGGCAGCAGUGGGGAAUCUUGCGCAAUGGGCGAAAGCCUGACGCAGCCAUGCCGCGUGAAUGAUGAAAGGUCUUAGGAUUGUAAAAUUCUUUCAGUAGGGACGAUAAUGACGGUACCUACAGAAGAAGCCCGGCUAACUUCGUGCCAGCAGCCGC